Molecule: ribosomal RNA, 256 nt
Filed under: uncultured bacterium
Lineage: Bacteria
Description: partial 16S ribosomal RNA
Rfam family: Bacterial small subunit ribosomal RNA
Source: RNAcentral
AACGUAGGAGACAAACGUUAUCCGGAGUUACUGGGCGUAAAGGGCGUGUAGGCGGUCUGUUAAGUCUGGCGUGAAAGCUCUCGGCUAAACCGGGAGAGGUCGUUGGAUACUGGCAGACUAGAGGACGGUAGAGGCGUGUGGAAUUCCGGGUGUAGUGGUGAAAUGCGUUAGAGAUCCGGAGGAACACCAGUGGCGAAGGCGACACGCUGGGCCGUACCUGACGCUAAAGCGCGACAGCAUGGGGGAGCAAACGGGG